RNAcentral lists this non-coding RNA (28 nucleotides) under Mus musculus (house mouse). Lineage: Eukaryota; Metazoa; Chordata; Mammalia; Rodentia; Muridae. The record is from RNAcentral.
UAGAUUUUUAUCUGCUUGGUACCUUGGC